Molecule: transfer RNA, 117 nt
Filed under: Flavobacterium shii
Lineage: Bacteria; Pseudomonadati; Bacteroidota; Flavobacteriia; Flavobacteriales; Flavobacteriaceae
Description: tRNA-OTHER
Rfam family: tRNA
About the family: Transfer RNA (tRNA) molecules are approximately 80 nucleotides in length. Their secondary structure includes four short double-helical elements and three loops (D, anti-codon, and T loops).
Source: RNAcentral
GGGGCAGUAGCUCAGCGGUAGAGCAGGUAGUUUUGAAAUUAUCCUUAAAAGGUCAAUCUUAACUUACUUCUCGCAUUGUUAACGCCCGUGUCGUGGGUUCGAUUCCCACCUGCUCCA